UGGCUGAUUAAAUCACCUUUAUUAAAAGAUACAAGAUGCUGGAAUACCAACACUUUAGAAUGCAGAAGUACUUUACACACAGGCCCAGGCUUGUGUCCAACAUGGCCCCUUAUUCACUAUAUAGUGCACUACUUUACACACAGGCCCAGGCUUGUGUCCAAUAUGGCCCCUUAUUCACUAUAUAGUGCACUACUUUACACACAGGCCCAGGCUUGUGUCCAAUAUGGCCCCUUAUUCACUAUAUAGUGCACUACUUUACACACAGGCCCAGGCUUGUGUCCAAUAUGGCCCCUUAUUCACUAUAUAGUGCACUACUUUACACACAGGCCCAGGCUUGUGUCCAAUAUGGCCCCUUAUUCACUAUAUAGUGCACUACUUUACACACAGGCCCAGGCUUGUGCCCAACCAAACUCACAUAGAGGCUGUAUCCAAUAUGGCCCCUUAUUCACCAUGUAGUGCACUACUUUAGACCAGAGCCCUAUUCCCUAUAUAGGGCACUACUUUAGACCAAAGCCCUAUUCCAUAUAUAGUGCACUACUUUAGACCAGAGCCCUAUUCCCUAUAUAGUGCACUACUUUAGACCAGAGCCUAAUUCCAUAUAUAGUGCACUACUUUAGACCAGAGCCCUAUUCCCUAGAUAGUGCACUACCUUUAACUACAGCAUUAUUCCAUAUAUAGUGCACUACUUUAGACCAGAGCCCUAUUCCCUAUAUAGUGCACAACAUUAUACUACAGCCCUAUUCCCUAUAUAGUGCACUACUUUAUACUACAGCCCUAUUCCCUAUAUAGUGCACUACUUUUAACCAGAGCCCUGAAUAGACCAGACACCUAAUCAUCUAUAUACAUCUUAAUCUAGCAUUGUGUUUCUCCUAUUAAUCACCCUGUGAAUGACUCUCUAUGGGUCCAGGUUAACACACUAUAAAGGGAACAGAAUGACUCUCUAUGGGUCCAGGUUAACACACUAUAAAGGGGAACAGAAUGACUCUCUAUGGGUCCAGGUUAACACACUAUAAAGGGGAACAGAAUGACUCUCUAUGGGUCCAGGUUAACACUCUAUAAAGGGGAACAGAAUGGCUCUCUAUGGGUCCAGGUUAACACUCUAUAAAGGGAACAGAAUGACUCUCUAUGGGUCCAGGUUAACACUCUAUAAGGGGAACAGAAUGACUCUCUAUGGGUCCAGGUUAACACAUUAUAAAGUGAAUAAGAGUCCAUUUGGAACACAGCCACAGUAGUAAUAACAAAGGUAUUUUUUGAUCAAAAUCCCUGUAAAUAUCUGCGGUAUCCUUGCCAACCCAUUUCAAUCUGCAGGUUGUUUUUUUCUUUUCAAAAUCACAACGUGACAGUAAACCAGUCUUUAAAGAAAAAAGAGAUCUGAAACCAUGCAACACUCAACAAGCCCACGUUACAGUUACUUCUGGGUUCGCCACCGUUUUGAAUGGCAUCAUCAAUAUCAUCAUCAUCAUCAUCAUCAUCAUCAUCAUCAUCAUCAAUAUCAUGAUCAUCGUCAUCAAUAUCAUGAUCAUCAUCAUCAAUAUCAUCAUCAUCAUCAUCAAUAUCAUGAUCAUCAUCAUCAAUAUCAUCAUCAUCAAUAUCAUGAUCAUCGUCAUCAAUAUCAUGAUCAUCAUCAUCAAUAUCAUCAUCAUCAUCAUCAAUAUCAUGAUCAUCAUCAUCAAUAUUAUCAUCAUCAAUAUCAUGAUCAUUAUCAAUAUCAUGAUCAUCAUCAACAAUAUCAUGAUCAUCAUCAAUAUCAUCAUCAUCAAUAUCAUGAUCAUCAUCAAUAUCAUGAUCAUCAUCAUCAUCAUCAAUAUCAUCAUCAUCAUCAUCAAUAUCAUCAUCAUCAACACUUACAACACCAUAAGACUUCACACAACAGUGACAAGGACGUUUUGACGUUUUUUUGGGGGGGGGAGACAGAAUCGAUCAAAUCUCGAAGACCUCAUCCACUGAGUUUCCAUGACAGGACAAAACGGGUCACGUCGUAGAUAGAACGGGGUUCUCUUCUGUUUCAUUAGUUCGUUACCCGAGUCCAUCGCUGCCUUUAGGCCUCAUGCUUGGUGUUAAAGGGGGACAGUGACGAGCAACAGAUAUACACUACACUUCAGCAAACUAACCACUGGCACCAAACACUAACCUGCUGCUCCCAGAUCAGUGUCUAACCUCCGUGUUGGCACCAAACACUAACCUGCAGCUCCCAGAUCAGUGUCUAACCUCCGUGUUGGCACCAAACACUAACCUGCUGCCCCAGAUCAGUGU
Long non-coding RNA from Oncorhynchus tshawytscha (Chinook salmon), 2253 nucleotides. Lineage: Eukaryota; Metazoa; Chordata; Actinopteri; Salmoniformes; Salmonidae. The record is from Ensembl.